ACGUAGGGUGCGAGCGUUAAUCGGAAUUACUGGGCGUAAAGCGUGCGCAGGCGGUUAUAUAAGUCAGGUGUGAAAACCCCCGGCUCAACCUGGGUACUGCCUUUGAGACUGUUUGACUAGAGUAUGGUUGACGGGGGUGGAAUUCCACGUGUAGCGGUGAAAUGCGUAGAGAUGUGGCAGAACGCCGAUGGCGAAGGCAGCCCACUGGGUCAUUACUGACGCUCAUGCACGAAAGCGUGGGGAGCAAACAG
Molecule: ribosomal RNA, 251 nt
Filed under: uncultured prokaryote
Description: partial 16S rRNA
Rfam family: Bacterial small subunit ribosomal RNA
Source: RNAcentral